This 6843-nucleotide ribosomal RNA is filed under the name Triticum aestivum (bread wheat). RNAcentral describes it as "partial small subunit ribosomal RNA". Lineage: Eukaryota; Viridiplantae; Streptophyta; Magnoliopsida; Poales; Poaceae. The record is from RNAcentral.
GCCCAAUGGACAUGGAGAUGGCGCCGCCGCUACACUUCGUGCUGGUGCCGCUCCUUGCGCAGGGCCACGUGAUCCCCACGGUGGACCUGGCGCGUCUCAUCGCCGGGCGCGGCGGCACGCGCGUCACCGUUGUCCUGACGCCCGUCAACGCCGCGCGCAACAGAGCCGCUCUUGAGCACGCACGCUGCGCGGGGCUCGCCGUCGACUUCGCCGAGCUCGACUUCCCAUCGGCCGCGGCGGGCCUGCCAGAGGGCUGCGAGAGCCACGACAUGGUCAGUGACCUGUCACAUAUCAAGCUUUUCUACGACGCCAUGUGGCUGCUCGCGGGCCCGCUCGAGGCGUACCUCCGCGCGCUGCCGCGGCGGCCUGACUGCCUGGUCGCAGACACCUGCAACCCGUGGACGGCGGACGUAGCUCGACGGCUCGGCAUCCCACGGUUUGUGUUCCACGGUCCGUCAGCGUUCUUCCUCCUCGCGGCGCAUAACCUGGCCAAGCACGGUGUGCGCGACCGCGCCUCCGGCGAGUUCGAGCUGUUCGAAGUGCCCAACUUCCCGGUGCGCACGGUCGUGAACAAGGCGAUGUCGCUCGGGUUCUUCCAGUGGCCAGGGCUGGAGACGCAACGGCGCGAGACGCUCGAUGCCGAGGCCACCGCCGACGGCUUCGUCGUCAACACGUGCGCGGCCUUCGAAAGCUCGUUCAUCGAGGGCUACGCGGGGGCGCUCGACCGAAAGGUGUGGGCGGUCGGACCACUCUGCCUCCUAGACUCCGACAGCGAGACGACGGCCAGGAGAGGCGAUCGGGCGGUCAUGGACGCAGGCCGGAUCAUCUCCUGGCUCGACGCGAGGCCUCCAGGAUCCGUGCUCUACGUCAGCUUCGGCAGCAUCGCCCGCUUGUUACCGCCGCAGGUCGUCGAGCUCGCCGCCGGGCUGGAGGCGUCGGAGAGGCCGUUCGUCUGGGUGGCCAAGGAGGGCGACGACCUGGACGCCGGAUUCGACACGCUGGUGCAGGGCCGCGGCCUGGUCAUCCGUGGGUGGGCACCGCAGAUGACCAUCCUGUCGCACCCGGCGGUGGGUGGCUUCUUGACGCACUGUGGCUGGAACUCCACGCUGGAGUCUCUCUCCAAUGGCGUGCCGCUUCUGACCUGGCCUCACUUUGCUGACCAGUUCCUGAACGAGAAGCUAGUCGUUGACGUGCUUGGCGCUGGUGUUCGUGUCGGUGUGAAGGUGCCGUCGACCCACGUAUUCCUGGACCCUGAGACACCGUCAGUGCAGGUUUGGGCAGACGAUGUCGUAAGGACGGUGGCCAAGCUGAUGGACGACGGGGCGGAAGUGCGGGCAAAGGCAAUGGAGCUCGCAGCGAAGGCGAGGGAGGCCAUGUCAAAAGGCGGGUCCUCGGACAAUGACCUCGCGGGCAUGAUUCAGCAUCUCACAGAGCUCGCGAGUAAUGAGGAGAAGGAUCAACCUGUGUCUAAUACUUCAAUUGUGGCUAGGUCUAAGUUGACUAAAACUUAACCAAGUCUCAGCCAAGUGACAUGACAUUUAAGAACUAAAAGAAAAGCUGAAAAGAAAAUUUUGCGUGGAUCUUAAUGUAAGAUCUCUAGCAUCAAUUGAGGCAUAACCAAAUCUCGGACGACUGAAAUUAGCAAGACUGUUCUGAUAUGUUCCUGUAGUGACAUUUAAUAAAGUUGCAUGAUUUGUAUGGAAGAACAGACUUUUUUGUGAGACAAACUGCGGAACUAAACUGCAAAGAGGCAAUGAUAAAAGACACCCCAUAAGAUAAAAAAAUAACAAACGUGCCCUUGGUAAACCGAUUCACGACAUCCAUCAAUGCAAGAUGCUGGUUGUGGAAGAGAACAUUUGAGCUGUGACAGGUCACUAUCCGUGAAAUGGGCGCGCCUGUGGAUGUUUGACGGGCUGGAUUAGCUAUACCAGGCUGUAAAUACUUUAGAAGAAAGGGAUAUUACCAUUGUCCAUAUUUUUGUCAUGAUAAUACGUGUCUCAUUUAUAUCAUCUCUACUUCUAAUGGACGAGUUGGUGAAUAGUCCGUGCGGUUUAUUUUCGCUGGUUUAUUUUUGUUAUCCUCCCACCUCCGUUAACUCACUAUCCUUCUGCGAAAAAACCGGUGCCAAAAAAACCCAACGAUCGCUCCCUCUCUCUCUCCCUCCCGCUGCGACCCCUCCUCUCGAUCCACCCCCUCCCGCUGCGACCUCUCUCUUUCCCUCUUUCUCCCACUCCACCGCCGCCGCCCCGCCUCCCGCUUCGCCGCCAAGAGGCUAUCGAGGAGCCGGCAUCGAUAUCCGAGAGGAGUCGCCCUUCGCCGCCGCCGAGAUCCCGUGCAUCUCUACAGAUCCCUCUCGCUCUCCUCUUCGCCCAUCCACCUGGAUCAAAAGUCGAAACCCGCCGCCCCUAUGUCUCUGCUGGUGCUCGACGGAAGACGAGGGCGGCUCCUCCCAGCGAUUCCCCGUGGUCCUCGGCGGAGGCGACGGCUAGCUGCAGCGAAAAGACAAUGGGGUGAUGCUCACCUUCGCCGAGGAGAAGAUGCUCACCUUCUCGCCCCUCCCCCUACCGUGAUGUACGUGGAUGAAUCCGACGGCAACGAGGAUGACCUCGUAGGAUCCGGCCACGGUUGUGCGGAAUUUCACGGGGACGAAUCUACCCGGCUUCUCGUCCUAUCCGCCGCCGGUAGAGGCAUCCAUGUCCGAUGGUGUGAAUUUUGGCUGGUUCCAUGAGCACUUCGUUCCCUGCCGUGUAGUCUUCGUUGAUUCGGGAAGAUGGUGGUUGUCUGUUUAGCCAUUUCAAUCUGCUAUUGAUCAUGCUCAUUCUUGUUAUAUUCAGUUAUAUUGGAAACACCAUCUGAUUCAGUUAUAUUCUUGAUCAUGCUCAUGCUCAUCCUUAUUCAAAUAAGAAUACUUCUGUUUGGAGAGCUCGGGCGUCAGCUGUGUGGAAGCACCAGCUGAUUUGUAACUGGUCGGAAGGUCCUUGGGGUUGGGUGCGACAACUCGCGACUCGAAGACAUUUCGUGCAUGUGCUCCCCUGCGCUUGGUGACCAAUACAUCUACUCCGUCAUGAACAUGUGCUUCGUGUCAUACAGGUCGCCUCCAAGGGUGAGCUCGUGCAGCGGUACAGGUUAUGUGCAUUAUUGAUCAGCCAAUCUUGAGAGAGAGAUGGGUUGGCGUGAAUGGGAAGAAAACUACAUUGAAUGGACAAGAAGUAUGCCCUCAACUUUUUCAUGGCAUCGGGAUGCCCACUGCCGACGGUGCUGCAUUGCUACCAAAGGGGCACCCUGCCGCGGCUGGGGACUCGCUGCCGUCGAAGCACGACACCUUGCCGUCACGUAUGUUGGGUGUUGUGGUGCUGCAGGUCCUUGGGGUUGGGUGCGGCAACUCGAGACUCGAAGACGAUCUUCUGUGGUAGGGCGUCGCCGCCGGCGGCGGCACCUGUAUAGACCGUCUCGGUGUGACAGAAGAGUUCGGAGUUCACUCCGAGAAAGAAUUGCUUUGCAUGUACAUUUGCUGAAAGACUGAUGUGCUGAACUUUCGAUGAUUUCGAUUGGUCUCUAACAUAACCUUUCCUCUUUUUGUUGAUAUGUCCAAAAGAGAUCCUUAUUUCACCUUUUGUUUAUAGGUAUUCAACUUGAGGAAUUUCAUACUUUUGGAGUGGAGCUAUCAAAUAUAUGUGUGCUCGAUGUUGGUGUUUUAAUCCGGAUCUCUCGCUGAAGGUGCUCGAUGUUGGUGUUUGAAUACUGCUACUGUACUUCAAGCAAAGUUCUCCUAGAGGUGUGAUGUUGGUGGUGAUUUUCUUAUCCGGGGAUAUGGAUGUGGCGGGUUUGUGGGCACCAUGCUGACGCGGAGAAGGAGGUGCAAGUAGCGGGGCGCUUGAGGUGAGGUGGUUGCAGGGUCGCUCGAGAAGAACAGGCUCAUCAGCACCACCUGGAUGCCUUCGUCAUCAGCAAUGUGGACAAGGUAAAGUGGGAUGGCGGGAUUGUAUAGUGCUCAUAAGCCAGUCCGGGCAUUGUCCUUCCUCGAAUGAAUCUGAGACUACUCCUCAUAUGUUAAUCAGUUGCUCCUCCCUAGCUUUGGUUUGGUCUGAACUUCAAAGCUUUCAUCCACUCAAUGUUGAUUCAGUCAAAGAUCUCUUGGAAAAAUUAUUUCGACAAGAUUCACUCUAUAAUGUUGUUAUCAUUGUCCUCUGGAAUAUAUGGAAGCGCAAAAACUCCAAGGUCUCCCGGGAUGUUUUUGAGGAAUUGCACAUUACUGCUAGCAAGAUUGCUGAUGAUUGAUACCAUGGUCCAACAGGUAUUCACAUGAAAUUAAUAAAUGGCACCUUACGGAUUGGAGUACUCUACUGUAUCACCUAUCUAGGAGAUUUUAAUUUUUUUCCUUCUAUUAUUUCUCUUAAUCCCUGUGUACUCAUUGGACUUUGUAUAGUUCUCAGUUUUAUGAAGUGGUUCAGGCUGGCGUAAGCCGCCAUAGUCCCAGUAAAAAAAGGCUACAAGCUUCGCUUCGGCCUUUCGGAACUGAAUAUUAUGUAGUUUUAUUGAGAUUAUUGAUAGUGCUUCUCUACUAUCAAAGAAGGUAAUAGUCUCUUAUGUGUUUCUUUUUGUCCAUUUGAAUGCACUCCAUUUUUUAGUGUAUUAAUUAACAUCAAACCUCCCAUUCUUUCUAGAGUGCUGAUGUAUUAUUAUUUUCAGCUUAACACAUUUAACUUCCUAUAGAUUUCAUGGUUUAUGCAGAUUAACCGAGCUAAGAAUUUUUGUGAAGCUAAAGCUGGUGUUAAGAUGAACGCCGCUAUGUAUAUAUUUGAAACAGUUAGAUACAUGCUUGACAGACUAUAUAGGGGUGAUCAAAACCAUGCAAAGCAUUAUGGGACAAGUUUCUCUACCUUAAAUAAGUGUUCGUUCUCUCGUGUUUACUAUUCGUUUAAGGGUCAUCAACCCGUGUAUUUAUUUUCAUUGACCAAGUUUUACAUUUUUCUUCAGUAGUGUUCAUUGUGCAGUUCUAGAUUGUUAAGAGAAUAGAGUUUAUUGAUUUAUUACAUGGAGAGACCAGUAGUGUCGUAGUGGUCUUGACAUAAUUGCUAACAUUUUCUACUAGACAAGGUUUAAUUGCACUAAAUACAAAUUAGAACAUGCAUAGACAUUUAUCUUCUUUCUACAGAAUGGUUAGUGUAAACGUACUUUGAGUUGUACAUGAUUCUGUAUCUGACCAUUUUAUCUCAUACGUUGAUGUGGUUGCAGAUAUGAACUUCAAAUUAUCCUGCAAUGUAUUGACUGCUCGGAGCUAACUUCACUACGCCAGUUUUCUUUUAUGGCUCAAAGUAGUUAGUGUCCCCCCUUAUUAUGAGAGAGGUACUACUUCAAACAUCUCUUCUUAAUGUUUUAUGUCAUGGCAUACGGUAUGAGGGAGUGUUAGUUGGCUUGACUUUCGUGGCACUCAUUGAUAACCUUUCAGUUUAGGAGUUUUUGUGGCCUCUUAAUCCAUGAGAGUAUGCUCAUGUUGAAGAAGUUAGUCAUAAUGAGGGGCACCAUAAAUGUUUGUUAUCUGGCACAAAUUUCUAAUGAAUAUCACAUGUGAACCUUUUACUGUUGUGUUAUUCAAAUUUCAUUGUACUAUUCAUACAGUAAAAUAUGAGUGCCAUGUCAAAAUAUGGUUCUCGAUCUGAAAGAUCAUAUUCGAAAUUGCAGGUUCUAUGGCAGUGGAGUAAUGUUCGUAAAUUAUAUAUUGCUUUCAAGUUUGGAGCUGGAAUAAUAUAUGUGCUGCAUUUAGUUAUAGUCUUAUAGAUAUACAUGAACAUCCAUUGUAUAUUUCUUGCAAGACAUGGUAACUACUAUUAUUUUGAUUGUUUCUGUGAACUAUUUUGACCUUGAUUAAGAAGUAGAAAGUUUUUAGCCUCGUAGGUUGUUUGAUCUACUGUAUCAAGUGGCACUUGGCUUCUCAUGGCUCUCCUCGCAUUUGCCAAAACAAAGUUAGUACACACUACCUAGAGCUCUGGAAACUAGAACUGAAAAAUGGUCAUGCGGUUUAUUAGCUGAUAUAAAUCAUGCACAAUGCUCUGCAUUUAAAAAUAAACCGGACACAAAGCAGUAUACUUUUUUCCGAGUACUACCUUGAGAGAGCCAAGGGGUUCUGCAUUUUAUAAAGAAGAAGAAAGUUGCCUCGUUCCAUACAUGCUUAUCUGAGAAAUAUAUCUUAUCUAUUUAGUGGAAACCAGGCAAAAACCUACAGAUACAAAAGGCACAAAGUCCCCCACCGGUCGUGACCGAACUACUGUUUUUGGAAAUAUCACAUGAGCUAGAUUACUAACAUUGAUGUAAUGCUUGUAUGGCAAUCUAUUCCUUUAUCGGUUCAAUUACAGAGUUUUGUUAUUAUGUGAAUGGAGUAAUGGAGAGCUAAGAAAAAACAAGGUAACAGUCAGUGUUACUCUUGCGAGGUAGUUUCAAUCAUAUCAUUGUUUGCUUUCCCCUUUUCUCCUGCCUAGGUAUGUACAAUUAUUCCAACCCAGGUUUCUUUCAAGAAGGAUAUGGGUAUGUGUUUGAGGAAUGUCUACAUGAUAAAACACACCUUCAAGUUUGGUGAUAGUUAUGCUAUCAAACUUACAAUGGGGGUCUUAAUUUGUAUUUUUAAUAGAGCACUGGGUUCAUUGGUGAGACUUGUGAAGAUGUGCCUAGGCUAAAGAUGGCUGCUAUGUCGGUACCAAGUGGCAUGUGUUUAAAUGGAGUAUCCUUGUCAGGAGAGCUGAUUUCUGAAAUAUGGUACUUUAUGGGUGCAAGGAUUCACCAUGUUGCGGUCUUCGUCAGUGGAGUGGACUCCUAGGAAUUAGUCAAGGCCGCUACGUUGUUUUAAGC